UCCAAUUGGCUUUGGCAUAUAGAUCAGUAUGAUAAAUUGAGCCCUUUUGGGAUAUAUAUCAGUGGAUGCAUUGAUGGGUUUUCCCGCUAUGUGCUUUGGGUGGAAGCUGGUGUCAGCAAUAAAAACCCCAAAAAGAUUGCAGGGUACUUUUUGAAGACUUUGGAGAAUGUUAAAGG
Saccostrea echinata is the source of this 176-nucleotide long non-coding RNA. RefSeq lists it as uncharacterized. The transcript has 3 exons. The record is from RefSeq and is a predicted model, not a curated record. NCBI's taxonomy places the organism in Eukaryota, Metazoa, Mollusca, Bivalvia, Ostreida, Ostreidae.